This 1361-nucleotide ribosomal RNA is filed under the name Pantoea sp. SAP58_1. Its description in RNAcentral is "bacterial SSU rRNA". It matches the Rfam family "Bacterial small subunit ribosomal RNA", at positions 83 to 1442 of the family's 1533-position model. The record is from RNAcentral. Lineage: Bacteria; Pseudomonadati; Pseudomonadota; Gammaproteobacteria; Enterobacterales; Erwiniaceae.
CUCGGGUGACGAGUGGCGGACGGGUGAGUAAUGUCUGGGGAUCUGCCCGAUAGAGGGGGAUAACCACUGGAAACGGUGGCUAAUACCGCAUAACGUCGCAAGACCAAAGAGGGGGACCUUCGGGCCUCUCACUAUCGGAUGAACCCAGAUGGGAUUAGCUAGUAGGCGGGGUAACGGCCCACCUAGGCGACGAUCCCUAGCUGGUCUGAGAGGAUGACCAGCCACACUGGAACUGAGACACGGUCCAGACUCCUACGGGAGGCAGCAGUGGGGAAUAUUGCACAAUGGGCGCAAGCCUGAUGCAGCCAUGCCGCGUGUAUGAAGAAGGCCUUCGGGUUGUAAAGUACUUUCAGCGGGGAGGAAGGCGAUAAGGUUAAUAACCGUGUCGAUUGACGUUACCCGCAGAAGAAGCACCGGCUAACUCCGUGCCAGCAGCCGCGGUAAUACGGAGGGUGCAGCGUUAAUCGGAAUUACUGGGCGUAAAGCGCACGCAGGCGGUCUGUUAAGUCAGAUGUGAAAUCCCCGGGCUUAACCUGGGAACUGCAUUUGAAACUGGCAGGCUUGAGUCUCGUAGAGGGGGGUAGAAUUCCAGGUGUAGCGGUGAAAUGCGUAGAGAUCUGGAGGAAUACCGGUGGCGAAGGCGGCCCCCUGGACGAAGACUGACGCUCAGGUGCGAAAGCGUGGGGAGCAAACAGGAUUAGAUACCCUGGUAGUCCACGCCGUAAACGAUGUCGACUUGGAGGUUGUUCCCUUGAGGAGUGGCUUCCGGAGCUAACGCGUUAAGUCGACCGCCUGGGGAGUACGGCCGCAAGGUUAAAACUCAAAUGAAUUGACGGGGGCCCGCACAAGCGGUGGAGCAUGUGGUUUAAUUCGAUGCAACGCGAAGAACCUUACCUACUCUUGACAUCCACRGAAUUUGGCAGAGAUGCCUUAGUGCCUUCGGGAACCGUGAGACAGGUGCUGCAUGGCUGUCGUCAGCUCGUGUUGUGAAAUGUUGGGUUAAGUCCCGCAACGAGCGCAACCCUUAUCCUUUGUUGCCAGCGAUUCGGUCGGGAACUCAAAGGAGACUGCCGGUGAUAAACCGGAGGAAGGUGGGGAUGACGUCAAGUCAUCAUGGCCCUUACGAGUAGGGCUACACACGUGCUACAAUGGCGCAUACAAAGAGAAGCGACCUCGCGAGAGCAAGCGGACCUCAUAAAGUGCGUCGUAGUCCGGAUCGGAGUCUGCAACUCGACUCCGUGAAGUCGGAAUCGCUAGUAAUCGUGGAUCAGAAUGCCACGGUGAAUACGUUCCCGGGCCUUGUACACACCGCCCGUCACACCAUGGGAGUGGGUUGCAAAAGAAGUAGGUAGCUUAACCUU